UGGCAGCCCUGCAGCCUCCUCUGUGUACUCAGAGCACAGAUGCACUUCAGGUAGUGACAGUGCCAACAUCCUGCACUGCCCCUGCCAGGCAGGCCUCACCUUCACCGAAGAGGCCACCUCUAAAGAGAAGGGCCAAGUCUGAAACCUGGGUCUUCUCAAGAUGGU
This 165-nucleotide small RNA is filed under the name Nannospalax galili (Upper Galilee mountains blind mole rat). RNAcentral describes it as "TUC338 (ENSNGAG00000004177.1)". The record is from RNAcentral. Lineage: Eukaryota; Metazoa; Chordata; Mammalia; Rodentia; Spalacidae.